This 440-nucleotide ribosomal RNA is filed under the name uncultured bacterium. Its description in RNAcentral is "partial 16S ribosomal RNA". It matches the Rfam family "Bacterial small subunit ribosomal RNA", at positions 338 to 795 of the family's 1533-position model. The record is from RNAcentral.
CCUACGGGCGGCAGCAGUGGGGAAUAUUGCACAAUGGGGGAAACCCUUAUCCAGCGACGCCGCGUGAGUGAAGAAGGUUUUCGGAUUGUAAACCUCUGUCAGUGGGGACGAUAAUGACGGUACCCACGGCGGAAGCCACGGCUAACUACGUGCCAGCAGCCGCGGUAAUACGUAGGUGGCAAGCGUUGUCCGGAAUUACUGGGUGUAAAGGGAGUGUAGGCGGGAUGUCAAGUCAGAAGUGAAAAUUAUGGGCUCAACCCAUAACCUGCUUUUGAAACUGAUAGUCUUGAGUGAAGUAGAGGGAGGCGGAAUUCCAGGUGUAGCGGUGAAAUGCGUAGAGAUUAGGAGGAAUACCGGUGGCGAAGGCGACCUCCUGGGCAAAGACUGACGCUGAGGUGCGAAAGCGUGGGGAGCAAACAGGAUUAGAUACCCGGGUAGUC